Long non-coding RNA from Bemisia tabaci, 841 nucleotides. RefSeq lists it as uncharacterized. NCBI's taxonomy places the organism in Eukaryota, Metazoa, Arthropoda, Insecta, Hemiptera, Aleyrodidae. The record is from RefSeq and is a predicted model, not a curated record.
UUGUGAUUCAGGGUUCAGUCAGUUGUGAUUUGAGUCGUGAGCGCUUAUGGAAUUGAUUGUAAAGUCCACUUGUUAAAUGGCCUCACUCCAGACGAGCAUCUGCACUCAGAUUUAUUUCCAAGUAUUCUGGAAUUUCCAAGCGGCUAAUAUUCUAUGAUCUGAUUGCCCAUCCUGUAUCUGAGCAAUCAUUGGUAGAGAGUUAGCAGCAAAAUCAAAUCACCUCAAAAUUCAUCAUUUAGUGCUUCAAACAACAUUGAUAUCAAGGAAGAUUUAGUGUAGGCAACUUAAAUAAUCAUAAACAGUGACUUUCAAAGUUUGAUUUGUCCAGAUAUUAAUUUUUUCAAACGAAGAAGGAAAGUGUACUUAAGUUCAGUGUUGGAAAUGCCUAAAUAUCUGAAUCAGUAGGUAAAACCAAACUGUUCGGAAUUUAAGUUUUAAAGAAGAACUUUAUAUUUGGUGAGUCUUUUUUUAUAUAAUUUCUUAACGCAUACUCUUUCAACACAGAAGCAGCAAGUUUGAUGCCCUCUCAAGUCUGAGUUUCAUAUUUGUGCUGUAUAUUACCUGAAAAUUUUGAUUGUAUGUAGUUCAAAGCCUUGAAAAUUUUCUGUCAUACUUUUUAGUGAUCUAGCUGUAUUUGUUGGCAUCAUUUAAGUGGAUCUGAAUGUCAUGAUUUAUCAUUAUAACUUAUUAAGCUUAAAUUAAAGACAUUGUGUACCUCCAUCCCCCCAAAACUGAGGGUCUCGCAGUCAAAAUCUCACGAUACUUUACACCGGUGACUAAUGAAGAGUUACUGGAGUAAGCGUUAUUCGGACUAGAUGUGGCGCAUCAAUCAAUACUUUGG